This 1081-nucleotide long non-coding RNA is filed under the name Nicotiana benthamiana. RNAcentral describes it as "long non-coding RNA (NBEN_LNC027080)". Lineage: Eukaryota; Viridiplantae; Streptophyta; Magnoliopsida; Solanales; Solanaceae. The record is from RNAcentral.
CCACACCCAAAAGCCAAGCUUCACCGUCUUCUUCACGAAAGAACCAAAGGAAAAUCCCUAGACUCCAUUGAAGCUCCCAGUCGCACUUCCCCAAAAUGAUCAUCCAUCAGACGAUCUUCUUCAGGACUCAAAAUAGAGAAGCAACGACAACUUCUUUUCUGCCUUGAACAUCCUUCACUAGACCGAAAAACACAGCCACACUCACACCCCGCGAUACUCACCCACACCCAGCGAUAUUCCUCUAAUUCCAGCCUCGAGUUGAAUCAGUUCAGGUCGCCGAUUCUGGUCCAGAUGCCUACUGUAGCUCGCUCGAGAACUUUGCUAUUUUAGAGCUCUAUUUUCAUUGUAUUUGCUCCAGAAUUUAGAUAAUAGAAGGUUAGCUGUUUUUCAGUUUUCUCGAUUUUCGGAUCUGAAAUCUGUGUAUAAGCUUGAUUUGUUUAUUUGGUUUUCUCUAUUUUUACUCGCUGCUUAAUGUUGCGAGUAUUUCUGUGGUGGUAUCAUAAGAGAGGAAUAAGAUCUUCGUAUCAAUGGUGAGUACGGAGAUAAGGGACUGAACUCUCGUGGAGAUAGGGAACCUAUUAUUGCAGAAGGGAUAAGAAACAAUUAUUUUGGUGAUGUUAACUGCAGAGAUGUAGGAAGGGAGAUGUAGGAAGAAGACUAUAUAAUUAUCCUAGAAUUGUUGACUAUUUUUUUUUACUUCAGCUGAUUUUGAACAAGUAGCCGCUUUAUGUUCUUUUGUAUUUACAACGUGACAAUUGAUUUGCACAAAAGUAUACUGAAAUGGACAUGAUAGGAGAAACAUUAGGAAGCUUUUCUCGUUUCUUUUAGAAGGAUGAAUUAGACAGAGCAUUAAUUUAUCUCUUAGUCUUUUUUUCAUUCCAAAUAAUACAAACCAAAGAGAAACGUAUAUGUUCAUUUCAGUUUCGGAUUUGUGGGUCUUAAAAUAGAUUUCUCCUUAAGUAUUGGAAUUGGGUUUGAACCUGAUUGAGGUGUAGGCUGUUCGGAGUCGACUCAUGGUUCCGUUCGCGAUUCGUUACAUUUUGAGUUUAAAACAGUGAAUGAAUCAACUUUCUAAUUAUAU